AACGAACGCUGGCGGCAUGCCUAACACAUGCAAGUCGAACGAGACCUUCGGGUCUAGUGGCGCACGGGUGCGUAACGCGUGGGAACCUGCCCUUAGGUUCGGAAUAACUCCUCGAAAGGGGUGCUAAUACCGGAUAAUGUCUUCGGACCAAAGAUUUAUCGCCUUUGGAUGGGCCCGCGUUGGAUUAGCUAGUUGGUAGGGUACAAGCCUACCAAGGCGACGAUCCAUAGCUGGUCUGAGAGGAUGAUCAGCCACACUGGGACUGAGACACGGCCCAGACUCCUAGGGGAGGCAGCAGUGGGGGAUAAAGGACAAUGGGCGAGAGCCUGAGCCGGCAAUGCCGCGUGGGUGAUGAAGGCGUUAGGGUUGUAUAGCGCUUUUACCCGGGAUGAUAAUGACAGUACCGAGAGAAUAAGCUCCGGCUAACUCCGUG
This 433-nucleotide ribosomal RNA is filed under the name uncultured bacterium. RNAcentral's name for it is "partial 16S ribosomal RNA". It matches the Rfam family "Bacterial small subunit ribosomal RNA", at positions 29 to 507 of the family's 1533-position model. The record is from RNAcentral.